RNAcentral lists this ribosomal RNA (443 nucleotides) under uncultured bacterium. RNAcentral describes it as "partial 16S ribosomal RNA". It matches the Rfam family "Bacterial small subunit ribosomal RNA", at positions 338 to 795 of the family's 1533-position model. The record is from RNAcentral.
CCUACGGGAGGCUGCAGUGGGGGAUAUUGGACAAUGGGGGAAACCCUGAUCCAGCGACGCCGCGUGAGUGAAGACGUAUUUCGGUAUGUAAAGCUCUAUCAGCAGGGAAGAAAGAAAUGACGGUACCUGAGUAAGAAGCCCCGGCUAACUACGUGCAAGCAGCCGCGGUAAUACGUAGGGGGCAAGCGUUCUCCGGAAUUACUGGGUGUAAAGGGAGCGUAGACGGUAAUGCAAGUCUGGAGUGAAAGGCGGGCGCCCACCCCCCGGACUGCUCUGGAAACUGUGUAACUGGAGUGCAGGAGAGGCAGGUGGAAUGCGUAGUGUAGCGGUGAAAUGCGUAGAUAUUAGGAGGAACACCAGUUGCGAAGGCGGCAUGCUGGACUGUAACUGACGUUGAGGCUCGAAAGCGUGGGUAGCAAACAGGAUUAGAUACCCCGGUAGUC